Molecule: ribosomal RNA, 458 nt
Filed under: uncultured bacterium
Lineage: Bacteria
Description: partial 16S ribosomal RNA
Rfam family: Bacterial small subunit ribosomal RNA
Source: RNAcentral
CCUACGGGGGGCAGCAGUGAGGAAUAUUGGUCAAUGGGCGAGAGCCUGAACCAGCCAAGUCGCGUGAGGGAGUACUGCCCUAUGGGUUGUAAACCUCUUUUGUCGGGGAGCAAAAGCCGGACGUGUCCGGCUGUGAGAGUACCCGAAGAAAAAGCAUCGGCUAACUCCGUGCCAGCAGCCGCGGUAAUCCGGAGGAUGCGAGCGUUAUCCGGAUUUAUUGGGGUUAAAGGGUGCGCAGGCGGAUGUUUAAGUCAGCGGUCAAAUCGUGGGGCUCAACCCCAUCCAGCCGUUGAAACUGGGGAUCUAGAGUGUGCGAGAGGUAUGCGGAAUGCGUGGUGUAGCGGUGAAAUGCAUAGAUAUUACGCAGAACCCCGAUUGCGAAGGCAGCAUACCGGUGCACAACUGACGCUCAGGCACGAAAGCGUGGGUAUCGAACAGGAUUAGAUACCCCGGUAGUC